CGACUCCAUGAAGCUGGAUUCGCUAGUAAUCACAGGUCAGCAUACUGUGGUGAAUACGUUCCCGGGCCUUGUACACACCGCCCGUCACACCAUGAGAGUUGAGAAUACCCGAAGCCCAUGUCAAAGUGGUCGAAGGUAGGCUUGAUGAUUGGGGUGAAGUCGUAACAAGGUACC
This 174-nucleotide ribosomal RNA is filed under the name uncultured bacterium. RNAcentral's name for it is "partial 16S ribosomal RNA". It matches the Rfam family "Bacterial small subunit ribosomal RNA", at positions 1313 to 1500 of the family's 1533-position model. The record is from RNAcentral.